AGCCGUGUGAUAAUGACAUAGCGAACUAUUCUUUCGCCUUUUACUAAAGAAUACCGUGUCAGUGUCACAUUUAGCGGCAUACGCUAGUUUUUGGAAGAGUCCUCUUUACGGAGGGCU
Small nuclear RNA from Medicago truncatula (barrel medic), 117 nucleotides. It matches the Rfam family "U5 spliceosomal RNA". Rfam says of the family: U5 RNA is a component of both types of known spliceosome. The record is from Rfam. Lineage: Eukaryota; Viridiplantae; Streptophyta; Magnoliopsida; Fabales; Fabaceae.